This is a long non-coding RNA of Perca fluviatilis (European perch), 295 nucleotides long. RefSeq lists it as uncharacterized. The transcript is spliced from 5 exons. The record is from RefSeq and is a predicted model, not a curated record. Lineage: Eukaryota; Metazoa; Chordata; Actinopteri; Perciformes; Percidae.
CGGGACAGUUCAAUUAGUUGUUCAUCCAGGUCUGUGGGCCGGGACAAUUCAAGCAGUCGUGUACACAGGUCCCAGGCUGUGGAAGGUCUUUCACAUGAAAUGUCCAGUUAUAAUAGGGAUGUGCCAACCACAUUCCCCCUGUCAGAAGCGAAAUUCCAAAAAAUAGUGCUGACAAAGCUGGUGACUCUCACUGAUGAGGUCAAACAACUCCAGAGGAGCAUGCCUAAAUCUAGCAUUGAGAUCAUAAAGAUUAACACCUUGGAAGAGUUCGAGAGGGAGGAGGCUUCUCUUCUGG